GCGGGAGUAGCCCAGUGGUCAAAUUCCUUCUCAUUCGUGCGAAGGAGUUCGUGUGUUCGAAUCGCAUCUCCCGCACCA
RNAcentral lists this transfer RNA (78 nucleotides) under Promethearchaeati archaeon. Its description in RNAcentral is "Asgard group archaeon (marine sediment metagenome) tRNA-Thr". Lineage: Archaea; Promethearchaeati. The record is from RNAcentral.